RNAcentral lists this ribosomal RNA (611 nucleotides) under uncultured bacterium. Its description in RNAcentral is "bacterial SSU rRNA". The stretch from base 1 to 516 matches the Rfam family "Bacterial small subunit ribosomal RNA", at positions 338 to 873 of the family's 1533-position model. The record is from RNAcentral.
CCUACGGGAGGCAGCAGUGGGGAAUAUUGGACAAUGGGCGAAAGCCUGAUCCAGCAAUGCCGCGUGAGUGAAGAAGGCCUUCGGGUUGUAAAGCUCUUUUACCCGGGAAGAUAAUGACUGUACCGGGAGAAUAAGCCCCGGCUAACUCCGUGCCAGCAGCCGCGGUAAUACGGAGGGGGCUAGCGUUGUUCGGAAUUACUGGGCGUAAAGCGUACGUAGGCGGCUUUGUAAGUCAGAGGUGAAAGCCCACGACUCAAUCGUGGAACUGCCUUUGAGACUGCUUCGCUUGAAGAUGGGAGAGGUUAGUGGAAUUCCGAGUGUAGAGGUGAAAUUCGUAGAUAUUCGGAAGAACACCAGUGGCGAAGGCGGCUAACUGGACCAUUCUUGACGCUGAGGUACGAAAGCGUGGGGAGCAAACAGGAUUAGAUACCCUGGUAGUCCACGCCGUAAACGAUGAUAACUAGCUGUCGGGGCUCUUGGAGCUUCGGUGGCGCAGCUACGCAUAAGUUAUCCGUCCGUCGGGUAGGUACGGCCGCGAAGUUAAACGUACGAAGUAGAAGUUAGUACGGCGUGAGAACGUGUCCGACGGACGACGACGAGGGGAGGUUAGG